AACGACUCUCGGCAACGGAUAUCUCGGCUCUCGCAUCGAUGAANAACGC
Molecule: ribosomal RNA, 49 nt
Filed under: Luffa echinata
Lineage: Eukaryota; Viridiplantae; Streptophyta; Magnoliopsida; Cucurbitales; Cucurbitaceae
Description: partial 5.8S ribosomal RNA
Source: RNAcentral